RNAcentral lists this long non-coding RNA (1298 nucleotides) under Capra hircus (goat). RNAcentral's name for it is "lncRNA (ENSCHIG00010030340.1)". Lineage: Eukaryota; Metazoa; Chordata; Mammalia; Artiodactyla; Bovidae. The record is from RNAcentral.
AAAAAAAAAAUAAACCUCAACCAUCGUAUUUCAAAAACAAGAGUACCCUAUACUUCACGGAUACACCCAUAACUAUACCAAGAAACAGCUUGUUGAUUAAAAAGCAUGGAACUUUACCUGGUUGGUACAUCUCAAUUACUCUUAAGUGGCAUGAAGGCAUGAGGUAACCAACAAAACUAUAAAAACUAUUUUUUUUAAGAAAACAAAAAGGGUCAGUCUCAUUUUGUUUACUUAAAUCCUAAGUUUAAUCAUGACCUAUCAAAAUCUUAUCAUGGCUCAUUGUAUAAAAUUAGCACCGCACUUGCAAGCAUAAGCAGAAUUUAGACUUAUCAAACAUAUGGUGAGGCUUGCCUAGCUUCUGAAAAAUUGAGAAUGCAGGAUUAAAAUGUUUUUAGUUGGGUAACAAAACUCACCGAUCCUGCUUAGAAGUUCUCAUCAAAAAUUUGAUUAAGAGAACCUCUUAAAAUUUUAAAGCGCCCAGUAAUUAAAACUUGGAAAUAAACGGAAACGGUUUAAAUAUAAAUCCUUCAUCUUCAGAAGCUACAGCUAACAAGCAAAUACCUAAAAUAGAAAAUAAUAAUAUUAACCACAAAACUACUAAACAGAGGCACAGGCUGGUUUACCAGCUAACUUUUCUGGCCCUAGACCAGAGAGACAUCAAAGUUGACAAUGGAAUCAACCAUGAGCUUUGCCUGUAAACUGGACGAUAAUCUGAAAAACUUCUCUGUUGCUAACAGAAGCUCCUUUUAAUGAGAAGCAGCGACUGACAGGUGGAAAAAUACAUUCUAACAGGGCAGCAAGAGGUUGUGAAAACACGGUUCAAGGACUGAACGUGUUGUGACUGCUCUGUAACAGGUCCAAGGUAAUUUACGCACACACCCUUCAGCGCAAUUCCUCAAGCAGAGAUAAGAUUGGGAAACAACAGGCUUCGCCGAGAGCUACAUACCAUGUUAAAACAGCCGUCUCCCUCUCGACAGGAAAACAGACAUUCUCUCCUCCGAAGUCUUUCCGCGAGUUCUCCCAGCGCCGCGAAGGGAAGCGGGCGGGGGACGCGGAGCGGCGGAUCACAUUUCUCCUCCCCAACAAUCACACGCACUCACGUCCCUCGAGUUGACACCCUCCGGACCCGCCGCCCGACGACGCUGGGGACUGGGCCACAAAGCCAGGGACGCAGCCAUCGGCCGCGGCGCUCAAGUUGCGUGCGUGCGUGUGUUUGUGUUUGUUCCCCUUAAUGAAAGACAAGAGGUCUCCGUAGUGACGGCCCAGGCUGCGGGGAGGGAAGAGCCCCCCCCACCCCC